GAUGAACGCUGGCGGCGUGCCUAAUACAUGCAAGUCGAGCGAACAGACGAGGAGCUUGCUCCUUUGACGUUAGCGGCGGACGGGUGAGUAACACGUGGGUAACCUACCUAUAAGACUGGGAUAACUUCGGGAAACCGGAGCUAAUACCGGAUAAUAUUUCGAACCGCAUGGUUCGAUAGUGAAAGAUGGCUUUGCUAUCACUUAUAGAUGGACCUGCGCCGUAUUAGCUAGUUGGUAAGGUAACGGCUUACCAAGGCAACGAUACGUAGCCGACCUGAGAGGGUGAUCGGCCACACUGGAACUGAGACACGGUCCAGACUCCUACGGGAGGCAGCAGUAGGGAAUCUUCCGCAAUGGGCGAAAGCCUGACGGAGCAACGCCGCGUGAGUGAUGAAGGUCUUCGGAUCGUAAAACUCUGUUAUUAGGGAAGAACAACCGUGUAAGUAACUGUGCACGUCUUGACGGUACCUAAUCAGAAAGCCACGGCUAACUACGUG
This 497-nucleotide ribosomal RNA is filed under the name uncultured bacterium. Its description in RNAcentral is "partial 16S ribosomal RNA". It matches the Rfam family "Bacterial small subunit ribosomal RNA", at positions 28 to 507 of the family's 1533-position model. The record is from RNAcentral.